Dipodomys ordii (Ord's kangaroo rat) is the source of this 129-nucleotide small nucleolar RNA. The record is from Ensembl. Lineage: Eukaryota; Metazoa; Chordata; Mammalia; Rodentia; Heteromyidae.
UGUGUGUGUGUGUGUGUUAAUUUAAUUUGCAACAAAGCCUUGCAAACAGGUACAAAGAGUAAAUCCUCUUUUGCAACCCAGAACUCAUAGCUGAAUAUGAGAUUUUUGGUGCAUGUAAGAGGGAAUAUG